CUGGCGGCGUGCUUACACAUGCAAGUCGAACGAACCUUCGGGUUAGUGGCGGACGGGUGAGUAACGCGUGAGAAUCUGCCCUCAGGAGGGGGACAACAGCUGGAAACGGCUGCUAAUACCCCAUAUGCCGCGAGGUGAAAUGAAUUUCGCCUGAGGAUGAGCUCGCGUCUGAUUAGCUAGUUGGUGUAGGUAAUGGCUCACCAAGGCAUCGAUCAGUAGCUGGUCUGAGAGGAUGAUCAGCCACACUGGGACUGAGACACGGCCCAGACUCCUACGGGAGGCAGCAGUGGGGAAUUUUCCGCAAUGGGCGAAAGCCUGACGGAGCAACGCCGCGUGAGGGAUGAAGGCCUCUGGGCUGUAAACCUCUUUUAUCAAGGAAGAAGAUCUGACGGUACUUGAUGAAUAAGCCACGGCUAAUUCCGUGCCAGCAGCCGCGGUAAUACGGGAGUGGCAAGCGUUAUCCGGAAUUAUUGGGCGUAAAGCGUCCGCAGGCGGCCCUUCAAGUCUGCUG
RNAcentral lists this ribosomal RNA (511 nucleotides) under uncultured bacterium. RNAcentral describes it as "bacterial SSU rRNA". It matches the Rfam family "Bacterial small subunit ribosomal RNA", at positions 36 to 594 of the family's 1533-position model. The record is from RNAcentral.